AUGUUAAGAGCAGUAGGAGCAGUUUUGGUGCUUAUGAGGUGACCUGGAUGGGCUCUUGGAUGGCUCCUGCCUGGGGGCUGAUCACCAGAGAGACCAAGCCAGUUAGAAGCUUGGAAUUUUGAGCUCAACACUGCCUCCUCCAGAGAGUGGCAAGGGACUGGAAAUGGGAGUUAAUAAUUGAUCAUGCCCACUCAAGGAAGCCUCUAUAAAAUCCCAGUAGUAAGGGUAUCAGAGACUUCCAGGCUGGGCACACAGCCAUACCAGGAGGGAGAUGCUCCUGAACUCCUUGAGAACAGAAACUCGGCACUCAGGACCCUCCCAGACCUCACCCUAGAGCUACCCACUGAAACAUUACUCACUCAAGGGCAAAGCUAUUCAUCUGUUUUGUUUAACCUCAUACUUGGUUCUGAACAGAGACACUCAAUAAAAAUUUGUGGAAUAAAUCCUGUCUUUUCUUACCCUGCAGAAGCUUGAGUUUGGUAAGUUGCUGUUAUUCAGUUGCUCAGUCAUGUCCGACUCUUUGUGACCCCAUGGACUGCAGCACGCCAGGUUUCCCUGUUUUUCACCAUCUCCCAGAGCUUGCUCAAACUCAUGUCCAUUGAAUCAGUGAUGCCAUCCAACCAUCUCAUCCUCUGUUGUCCCCUUCUCCUCCUGGUAAGUUAUGUUUAUGAUAACCAUGGGACUGCUGGUUAUGUCCUCUUGUCUACUUUUAGCAAAUCAAAGCUGAUUACAUGCAGCCAUACCUCAGUUAGUUUCAAAUAGAGUAAGAAGCAGCCACUCUCAAAGCUCAUGUAAGACAUCUAAUAUUUGAGAAAUUUAUUGGCAUUGGCAACCACCCUCUCAUUAAGUUCUGUUCUAAACUAAGCCAGAUCAUCAGGAAAUAAUACAAAAAUCACAUCUACUGAAUCCCUGUGAGAAUUUGGUUUAUUUAGUUAUGAUUAACCCUUGGCCUCUGUUUUAUCACAGGAUCACUCAAUGGGGCAAGAGAAAAUACAUGUACUAGAUAUUAUUCAUCUUACCAUACUAACAGUACA
Long non-coding RNA from Bos taurus (domestic cattle), 1034 nucleotides. The record is from Ensembl. NCBI's taxonomy places the organism in Eukaryota, Metazoa, Chordata, Mammalia, Artiodactyla, Bovidae.